GUGCCGGUCAUGGCAGAGCAGCCGGCUGUUCACCGGCAGGUUGAUGGUUCGAGUCCAUCUCAGGGAGCA
This 69-nucleotide transfer RNA is filed under the name Pseudoclavibacter sp. RFBH5. RNAcentral's name for it is "tRNA-Asn". Lineage: Bacteria; Bacillati; Actinomycetota; Actinomycetes; Micrococcales; Microbacteriaceae. RNAcentral also lists the same sequence under 3 other names. The record is from RNAcentral.